This 518-nucleotide ribosomal RNA is filed under the name uncultured bacterium. RNAcentral's name for it is "bacterial SSU rRNA". It matches the Rfam family "Bacterial small subunit ribosomal RNA", at positions 21 to 518 of the family's 1533-position model. The record is from RNAcentral.
GGCUCAGAACGAACGCUGGCGGCGUGCUUAACACAUGCAAGUCGAACGCGAAAGGGACUUCGGUCCUGAGUAAAGUGGCGCACGGGUGAGUAACGCGUAGAUAACCUGUCUUCAUGUCUGGAAUAAUACGCCGAAAGGGGUACUAAUACCGGAUAUUCUUGCUUUUCAUAAGUUAUGCAAGCAAAGGUGGCCUCUGCAUAUGCUACUGCAUGAAGAGGGGUCUGCGUACCAUUAGCUAGUAGGUGGGGUAAUGGCCUACCUAGGCGACGAUGGUUAGCGGGUCUGAGAGGAUGAUCCGCCACACUGGCACUGGAACACGGGCCAGACUCCUACGGGAGGCAGCAGUGAGGAAUAUUGCGCAAUGGGGGAAACCCUGACGCAGCGACGCCGCGUGAAGUGAGGAAGGCCUUCGGGUCGUAAAGCUCUGUCAAGAGGAAAGAAGUGUACAAUGGCUAAUACCUGUUGUAUUUGACGGUACCUCUAAAGGAAGCACCGGCUAACUCCGUGCCAGCCGCCGC